RNAcentral lists this ribosomal RNA (253 nucleotides) under uncultured bacterium. RNAcentral's name for it is "partial 16S ribosomal RNA". It matches the Rfam family "Bacterial small subunit ribosomal RNA", at positions 524 to 776 of the family's 1533-position model. The record is from RNAcentral.
UACGAAGGGGGCUAGCGUUAUUCGGAUUUACUGGGCUUAAAGGGUGCGUAGGCGGUGCGGUCAGUCGGGUGUGAAAUCCCUCGGCUCAACCGAGGAACUGCGCCCGAUACUGCCGUACUUGAGGGAGACAGAGGUAAGCGGAACUGAUGGUGGAGCGGUGAAAUGCGUUGAUAUCAUCAGGAACACCGGUGGCGAAAGCGGCUUACUGGGUCUCAUCUGACGCUGAGGCACGAAAGCUAGGGUAGCGAACGGG